GACGAACGCUGGCGGCGUGCUUAACACAUGCAAGUCGAACGGAAAGGCCCCUUCGGGGGUACUCGAGUGGCGAACAGGUGAGUAACACGUGAGUAACCUGCCCUUGACUUCGGGAUAACUUCAGGAAACUGGGGCUAAUACCGGAUAGGAAUCCUUGCUGCAUGGUGGGGGUUGGAAAGCUUCGGCGGUUUUGGAUGGACUCGCGGCUUAUCAGCUUGUUGGUGGGGUAGUGGCUUACCAAGGCUUUGACGGGUAGCCGGCCUGAGAGGGCGACCGGCCACAUUGGGACUGAGAUACGGCCCAGACUCCUACGGGAGGCAGCAGUGGGGAAUAUUGCACAAUGGGCGGAAGCCUGAUGCAGCAACGCCGCGUGCGGGAUGACGGCCUUCGGGUUGUAAACCGCUUUCAGCAGGGGCGAAGCUUGUGGUGACGGUACCUGAAGAAGAAGCACCGGCUAACUACGU
This 464-nucleotide ribosomal RNA is filed under the name uncultured bacterium. Its description in RNAcentral is "partial 16S ribosomal RNA". It matches the Rfam family "Bacterial small subunit ribosomal RNA", at positions 28 to 506 of the family's 1533-position model. The record is from RNAcentral.